This 253-nucleotide ribosomal RNA is filed under the name uncultured bacterium. RNAcentral describes it as "partial 16S ribosomal RNA". It matches the Rfam family "Bacterial small subunit ribosomal RNA", at positions 524 to 776 of the family's 1533-position model. The record is from RNAcentral.
CACGUAGGGUGCGAGCGUUGUCCGGAAUUAUUGGGCGUAAAGAGCUUGUAGGCGGUUUGUCGCGUCUGCUGUGAAAAUCCGGGGCUCAACCCCGGACUUGCAGUGGGUACGGGCAGACUAGAGUGUGGUAGGGGAGACUGGAAUUCCUGGUGUAGCGGUGGAAUGCGCAGAUAUCAGGAGGAACACCGAUGGCGAAGGCAGGUCUCUGGGCCACUACUGACGCUGAGAAGCGAAAGCAUGGGGAGCGAACAGG